AGAAUGAACGCUGGCGGCAUGCCUAACACAUGCAAGUCGAACGAAGGCUUCGGCCUUAGUGGCGCACGGGUGCGUAACGCGUGGGAAUCUGCCCCUCGGUUCGGAAUAACAGUUGGAAACGACUGCUAAUACCGGAUGAUGACGUAAGUCCAAAGAUUUAUCGCCGAGGGAUGAGCCCGCGUAGGAUUAGCUAGUUGGUGUGGUAAAAGCGCACCAAGGCGACGAUCCUUAGCUGGUCUGAGAGGAUGAUCAGCCACACUGGGACUGAGACACGGCCCAGACUCCUACGGGAGGCAGCAGUGGGGAAUAUUGGACAAUGGGCGAAAGCCUGAUCCAGCAAUGCCGCGUGAGUGAUGAAGGCCUUAGGGUUGUAAAGCUCUUUUACCCGGGAUGAUAAUGACAGUACCGGAGAAUAAGCUCCGGCUAACUCCGCGCCAGCAGCCGC
This 445-nucleotide ribosomal RNA is filed under the name uncultured bacterium. RNAcentral describes it as "SSU rRNA". It matches the Rfam family "Bacterial small subunit ribosomal RNA", at positions 26 to 518 of the family's 1533-position model. The record is from RNAcentral.